GUCGAGCGAGAUCUUCGGAUCUAGCGGCGGACGGGUUAGUAACGCGUGGGAACGUACCCAAAGGUAGGGAAUAGCCACUGGAAACGGUGAGUAAUACCCUAUGUGCCCUUCGGGGGAAAGAUUUAUCGCCUUUGGAUCGGCCCGCGUUAGAUUAGAUAGUUGGUGGGGUAACGGCCUACCAAGUCUACGAUCUAUAGCUGGUUUUAGAGGAUGAUCAGCAACACUGGGACUGAGACACGGCCCAGACUCCUACGGGAGGCAGCAGUGGGGAAUCUUGGACAAUGGGCGCAAGCCUGAUCCAGCCAUGCCGCGUGUGUGAUGAAGGCCUUAGGGUCGUAAAGCACUUUCGCCAGAGAUGAUAAUGACAGUAUCUGGUAAAGAAACCCCGGCUAACUCCGUGCCAGCAGCCGCGGUAAUACGGAGGGGGUUAGCGUUGUUCGGAAUUACUGGGCGUAAAGCGUACGUAGGCGGAUCAGAAAGUAUGGGGUGAAAUCCCAGGGCUCAACCCUGGAACUGCCUCAUAAACUCCUGAUCUAGAGUUCGAGAGAGGUGAGUGGAAUUCCGAGUGUAGAGGUGAAAUUCGUAGAUAUUCGGAGGAACACCAGUGGCGAAGGCGGCUCACUG
RNAcentral lists this ribosomal RNA (624 nucleotides) under uncultured bacterium. RNAcentral describes it as "bacterial SSU rRNA". It matches the Rfam family "Bacterial small subunit ribosomal RNA", at positions 61 to 731 of the family's 1533-position model. The record is from RNAcentral.